This 1663-nucleotide long non-coding RNA is filed under the name Paramuricea clavata. Lineage: Eukaryota; Metazoa; Cnidaria; Anthozoa; Malacalcyonacea; Plexauridae. The record is from RNAcentral.
GGAACGCCCAGCAUUCUUUAAUGUGCAAUCCCGGACAAAAGUGGUCAUGUUAAAUAUCAAAUAUAUAUGUUCUAAAUUCAUAGAUCAUGGGAGGUAUAUGUUGUUGCCGUGAUAGACGUCAUUGUGAGGAAGGUAUAUAUGUAUGUUUUUAAUUAUAGAACCCGUUGGCACUCUUAAUUUUUAUGUUCUUGUCAGAUUUCUGCCAUUUGCGCGGACAGAUUAUCAAGCACUUGUCCGGAUGGAGAAAUCCGUUCGAGCAUCGAGGAUGCCGAAAAUCUUAUAGUUAAAAGUAUGAAUCUUCCCAUUCUUUUUGUGAUUUUGUAGAAAAAAUAUAAAAAUUAACUAUUAUGGGAAAAACAAAAACAGUAUGGCAGUAUUAACAUGGUAACCACUAAUGUCGGAGUACUUCAUGUUAAGACAACGUAAAAUAGUAUACAAAUAAUGAAUGUUUAUGAGUGCAAUGGUAAGAAUAUUUUCAUGAGGUGAAAGAUGGAAUGUUCCAUUCAACGAGGCGACAGCCGAGUUGAAUGGAACAUUCCAUCUUUCACCGAAUGAAAAUAUUCUUACCAUUGCACGAAGAAACAUUCAUUAUUUGUUUUAUAUAAUACCAAAAUAGUUUAGAAUAGACUAAUAGAUUCGUAUGAGAAGCAUUUUGAGGGAUGCGAUUUAUCGAAAACACAAAGAGUGCAAUUGUACUAUACGUUUUAUUCCAUUGCACUCGCGGAGAGUGCAAUGGAACGUGUUCCAUUGCACUCUUGGGAAAUGGAAUUUUCUAUUCGAUAUCACGUGACCAUAAACAGCCAAUUAAACGAUUAGAAUUUAUUAAGGUAUUACAUAUAUAAAAUUUACUAUUAUUAACUUUGUUUAGUUAAAAGUGCGAGGGGUUGCUGCAUGCAUGUAUUGCUAGUAAUACGUGUUGUUUCACAGACCACGACUGAUACAGUAUUAUAAUGUUUCAAAAGCUGGAAUUGCCUCUCGUUUUUACAAUUCUGUACAAAAUAAUACAAAAACAUAACGUGUUGCCAUGCCAACCACUUCACAAUAAUUCAUGCUUCUAAUAUUUUCAUCAAUUAUGUUAAACUUACAUUUAAUAUAUGUUUUAUGGAGUGUUUACCCAUAUACAUUAAACUGACAUUACCUACUAUAAAUAUAUAAACUUACCGAUUUAAAACUCGACAACUGGUUUCGUUGCUUAAAGCACUGCAAGGACACAGGCUCGUUUCUUGCCAUAAGGAAUAUAGUUGCAUUUUUUGCAGCUGCUUCUGGUUAUAUAGGUGUAGAAAUCAAGAGCGAGUGUAGAAAUCAAGAGCGAUAAUGGUUUCCAAAAGUCGUGGAACGAAGCCAUUAUAACCAAAGGACGUAAUUUAUUAUAGAUUAUAUUAUGAAUGUCCAAAAUUGAGAGAACUUGCAUGCCCCCACCCCGUUUACCCACCCAGGAAGACGCUCUUACCAGUAAUGUAUAUGAUAUAGAAAUUCACAAUUCCAUCCAGUAUCUAGAACAUGUAGUUCUACCAAGCGAGUGAGAUGGCCAAAAUCCUGAUAUUUAUCUAAUAAAUUUGUAUAGAAGAAAGUGGGACGGAAGAUGGAGUAAAGGUUCAGAGACUUUGGGCUUACAAUAGCACAGCUGGAGGUAAAUACGUCUUUAUGAAAACUACCGAAACAG